RNAcentral lists this ribosomal RNA (476 nucleotides) under uncultured bacterium. RNAcentral describes it as "bacterial SSU rRNA". It matches the Rfam family "Bacterial small subunit ribosomal RNA", at positions 30 to 504 of the family's 1533-position model. The record is from RNAcentral.
UGAACGCUGGCGGCAGGCCUAACACAUGCAAGUCGAGCGAGAAAGCACUUCGGUGCGAGUACAGCGGCGGACGGGUGAGUAACGCGUAGGAAUCUACCCAGUAGUGGGGGACAACAUGGUGAAAACCAUGCUAAUACCGCAUACGCCCCAAGGGGGAAAGCGGGGGAUCUUCGGACCUCGCGCUAUUGGAUGAGCCUGCGUAGGAUUAGCUUGUUGGUGAGGUAAAAGCUCACCAAGGCGACGAUCCUUAGCUGGUCUGAGAGGAUGAUCAGCCACACUGGGACUGAGACACGGCCCAGACUCCUACGGGAGGCAGCAGUGGGGAAUAUUGCGCAAUGGGCGGAAGCCUGACGCAGCCAUGCCGCGUGUGUGAAGAAGGCCUUAGGGUUGUAAAGCACUUUCAAUUGGGAAGAAAAGUUGAUGGUUAAUAGCCAUCAGCCCUGACAUUACCUUUAGAAGAAGCACCGGCUAACUCC